CACAGGUUGAGGAAGUUGCCCUUCAGCUUUAAUGGGGGAAGGAUUCCACUGUCUUGCUGCAUUUACUGUGAGCUGAAUAUUAUUUGCAAAAAGAGAAAACGAAGCAAUCCAAUGGAAAUCAGUUGGAUUCUAUUCCAGAGUGUAGAAUAAGGACUAUCUACUUUGAAACUCCCUGUGCAUUUCCUGAAAUCAAUUCAUUCACUUAUGAAACAGGCUCUACUUAUGACUUGCAAUUGGAAAUUAUUAGCCUUGAUUUCAAGUCUGGGUUAGAGACUCUAAUGAAGGAAAAACCUAUCAAAGCUAUUUUUCUUGGUACACGAAUUGGCGACCCUAAUGCGGUUGGCCAAGAGCAGUUCUCUCCUAGCUCGCUAGGAUGGCCCCCUUUCAUGAGGGUGAAUCCUAUCUUGGAUUGGUCAUACAGGGAUGUGUGGGCUUUCUUAUUGACCUGCAAGGUUCAGUACUGCAGCUUAUAUGACAAGGGGGAAUACGUUGAAAUACUAUUGCUUCUUAGAUUCCAUUUUUGACUUUGUCUAUCUGCUCUAUAUCACCCCUCAUACAAAGAAUGCCAAACUGA
Molecule: RNA transcript, 574 nt
Organism: Asparagus officinalis (garden asparagus)
Lineage: Eukaryota; Viridiplantae; Streptophyta; Magnoliopsida; Asparagales; Asparagaceae
Gene name: probable FAD synthase
Exons: 6
Source: RefSeq, a predicted model, not a curated record